UACGGAGGGUGCAAGCGUUAUCCGGAAUCACUGGGUUUAAAGGGUGCGUAGGCGGCUUGGUAAGUCAGAGGUGAAAGCCCGCAGCUUAACUGCGGAACUGCCUUUGAUACUGCCGAGCUUGAAAGAGGUUGAGGUCAGCGGAACGUGACAUGUAGCGGUGAAAUGCAUAGAUAUGUCACAGAACACCAAUUGCGAAGGCAGCUGGCUGGGCCUACUUUGACGCUGAGGCAAGAAAGCGUGGGGAGCGAACAGG
Molecule: ribosomal RNA, 253 nt
Filed under: uncultured bacterium
Lineage: Bacteria
Description: partial 16S ribosomal RNA
Rfam family: Bacterial small subunit ribosomal RNA
Source: RNAcentral